GUGGGGAAUAUUGCACAAUGGGGGAAACCCUGAUGCAGCAACGCCGCGUGAGUGAAGAAGUAUUUCGGUAUGUAAAGCUCUAUCAGCAGGGAAGAAAAUGACGGUACCUGACUAAGAAGCCCCGGCUAACUACGUGCCAGCAGCCGCGGUAAUACGUAGGGGGCAAGCGUUAUCCGGAUUUACUGGGUGUAGAGGGAGCGUAGACGGCGAGACAAGUCUGAAGUGAAAGCCCGGGGCUCAACCCCGGGACUGCUUUGGAAACUGCCUUGCUAGAGUGCUGGAGAGGUAAGUGGAAUUCCUAGUGUAGCGGUGAAAUGCGUAGAUAUUAGGAGGAACACCAGUGGCGAAGGCGGCUUGCUGGACAGUAACUGACGUUCAGGCUCGAAAGCGUGGGGAGCAAACAGGAUUAGAUACCCGAGUAGUCC
Molecule: ribosomal RNA, 425 nt
Filed under: uncultured bacterium
Lineage: Bacteria
Description: partial 16S ribosomal RNA
Rfam family: Bacterial small subunit ribosomal RNA
Source: RNAcentral